RNAcentral lists this ribosomal RNA (253 nucleotides) under uncultured bacterium. RNAcentral's name for it is "partial 16S ribosomal RNA". It matches the Rfam family "Bacterial small subunit ribosomal RNA", at positions 524 to 776 of the family's 1533-position model. The record is from RNAcentral.
UACGGAGGGUGCGAGCGUUGUUCGGAAUUACUGGGCGUAAAGCGCACGUAGGCGGCUUUGUAAGUUAGGGGUGAAAGCCCGGAGCUCAACUCCGGAAUUGCCUUUAAGACUGCAUCGCUAGAAUUGUGGAGAGGUAAGUGGAAUUCCGAGUGUAGAGGUGAAAUUCGUAGAUAUUCGGAAGAACACCAGUGGCGAAGGCGACUUACUGGACACAUAUUGACGCUGAGGUGCGAAAGCGUGGGGAGCAAACAGG